AGAGUUUGAUCAUGGCUCAGAACGAACGUUAGCGGCNNNNNUAACACAUGCAAGUCGAGCGAGAAAGGGCUUCGGCCCCGGUAAAGCGGCGCACGGGUGAGUAACACGUAGGUAAUUUGCCCUCAGGUGGUGGAUAACUUUCCGAAAGGAAGGCUAAUACAGCAUGAGACCACGGUUCCGAAAGGGAUUGAGGUCAAAGCCGGCCAAUUCAUGAAAGCUGGUGCCAGAGGAUGAGCCUGCGGCCCAUCAGCUAGUUGGUAGGGUAAUGGCCUACCAAGGCGAAGACGGGUAGCUGGUCUGAGAGGAUGAUCAGCCACACUGGAACUGAGACACGGUCCAGACUCCUACGGGAGGCAGCAGUGGGGAAUCUUGCGCAAUGGGCGAAAGCCUGACGCAGCGACGCCGCGUGAGUGAUGAAGGCCUUCGGGUUGUAAAGCUCUGUGGAGGGGGACGAAUAAGGGUUGGCUAAUAUCCAACUUGAUGACGGUACCCUUUUAGCAAGCACCGGCUAACUCUGUGCCAGCAGCCGCGGUAAGACAGAGGGUGCAAACGUUGUUCGGAAUUACUGGGCGUAAAGCGCGUGUAGGCGGCUCGGAAAGUCGGAUGUGAAAGCCCUGGGCUUAACCUAGGAAGUGCAUUCGAAACUCCCGAGCUUGAGUUCUGGAGAGGAAGGCGGAAUUCUCGGUGUAGAGGUGAAAUUCGUAGAUAUCGAGAGGAACACCGGUGGCGAAGGCGGCCUUCUGGACAGUGACUGACGCUGAGCGCGAAAGCGUGGGGAGCAAACAGGAUUAGAUACCCUAGUAGUCC
RNAcentral lists this ribosomal RNA (807 nucleotides) under uncultured bacterium. Its description in RNAcentral is "bacterial SSU rRNA". It matches the Rfam family "Bacterial small subunit ribosomal RNA", at positions 8 to 796 of the family's 1533-position model. The record is from RNAcentral.